AUUGAACGCUGGCGGCAUGCUUUACACAUGCAAGUCGAACGGCAGCGCGGGCUUCGGCCUGGCGGCGAGUUGCGAACGGGUGGGUAAUGCAUCGGAACGUGCCCAGUAGUUGGGGAUAGGCCGGCGAAAGCCGGAUUAAGACCGUACACGAUAAGAUGGUGAACGGGGGGGACCGAAAGUGAUCGCGGUACUGGAGGGGCCGAUUAGGGGGAUCCGCGCUGGAUUAGCUAGUUGGUAAGGUAACGGCUUACCAAGGCUACGAUGCGUAGCCGACCUGAGAGGGCGACCGGCCACACUGGGACUGAGACACGGCCCAGACUCCUACGGGAGGCAGCAGUGGGGAAUCUUGCGCAAUGGGCGCAAGCCUGACCCAGCAACGCCGCGUGCGGGAAGAAGGCCUUCGGGUUGUAAAACGCUGUUGUUCGGGAAGAACAUCUGUGUGCUAAUCCCCCGGGAGCUUGACGGUACCGAAACAGAAAGCACCGGCUAACUACGUG
Molecule: ribosomal RNA, 497 nt
Filed under: uncultured bacterium
Lineage: Bacteria
Description: partial 16S ribosomal RNA
Rfam family: Bacterial small subunit ribosomal RNA
Source: RNAcentral